AGCGGAGGAAAAGAAACCAACAGGGAUUGCCUUAGUAGCGGCGAGUGAAGCGGCAAUAGCUCAAAUUUGAAAUCUGGCACCUUCGGUGUCCGAGUUGUAAUUUGAAGAAGGUAUCUUUGGUUUUGGCUCUUGUCUAUGUUCCUUGGAACAGGACGUCACAGAGGGUGAGAAUCCCGUGCGAUGAGAUGCCCAAUUCCAUGUAAAGUUCCUUCGACGAGUCGAGUUGUUUGGGAAUGCAGCUCUAAGUGGGUGGUAAAUUCCAUCUAAAGCUAAAUAUUGGCGAGAGACCGAUAGCGAACAAGUACUGUGAAGGAAAGAUGAAAAGAACUUUGAAAAGAGAGUGAAAAAGUACGUGAAAUUGUUGAAAGGGAAGGGCUUGAGAUUAGACUUGGAAUUUUCCAUUUAUGGAGCUUUCCGGGCCAGCAUCAGUUUGGAUGGCAGGAUAAUUGCGUUGGAAAGUAGCACCACUUCGGUGGUGUGUUAUAGACUUCGUCGAUACUGCCUAUCUAGACUGAGGACCGCGUCUUUGACUA
Molecule: ribosomal RNA, 533 nt
Filed under: Yamadazyma membranifaciens
Lineage: Eukaryota; Fungi; Ascomycota; Pichiomycetes; Serinales; Debaryomycetaceae
Description: eukaryotic LSU rRNA
Rfam family: Eukaryotic large subunit ribosomal RNA
Source: RNAcentral